Molecule: long non-coding RNA, 226 nt
Filed under: Elaeis guineensis (African oil palm)
Lineage: Eukaryota; Viridiplantae; Streptophyta; Magnoliopsida; Arecales; Arecaceae
Description: long non-coding RNA (EGUI_LNC061523)
Source: RNAcentral
UAUCUUGGUGCUUUCUGGAUGCAUGGCAUAAGCUAAACAGUGAGCCUCUUUCGUUAUCUAUCUCCUAAGUUCUCCUUUGGAAAAUAUACACGAUUCUCAUACAUCAGCAUACCAUCUUUCUCAACUAUAAAAUCUAUUCGAGACCCAUUCUGAACAGUAUUUAUAAUUUUCACUAACUGAGCAUCUUGAGUUUAAGCUUUACAUAUCUCACCAACUAGUAUAGGCC